Molecule: small nuclear RNA, 107 nt
Organism: Schistocerca americana (American grasshopper)
Lineage: Eukaryota; Metazoa; Arthropoda; Insecta; Orthoptera; Acrididae
Source: RefSeq, a predicted model, not a curated record
GUACUCACGUCGGUGGUACAUACACUAAAAUUGGAACGAUACAGAGAAGAUUAGCAUGGCUCCUGCACAAGGAUGACAUGCGAAAUCGUGAAACGUUCCACAUUUUU